This 253-nucleotide ribosomal RNA is filed under the name uncultured bacterium. Its description in RNAcentral is "partial 16S ribosomal RNA". It matches the Rfam family "Bacterial small subunit ribosomal RNA", at positions 524 to 776 of the family's 1533-position model. The record is from RNAcentral.
UACAGAGGUGGCAAGCGUUGUUCGGAAUUACUGGGCGUAAAGGGCGCGUAGGCGGUCUUCUAAGUCUUGUGUGAAAUCCCUCGGCUCAACUGAGGAACUGCACGGGAUACUGGAUGACUUGAGUUCGGGAGAGGGAAGCGGAAUUCCUGGUGUAGCGGUGAAAUGCGCAGAUAUCAGGAGGAACACCAGUGGCGAAGGCGGUGCUCUGGGCCGGAACUGACGCUGAGGAGCGAAAGCGUGGGGAGCAAACAGG